AGGACAAACGCUGGCGGGGUGCAUGAGACAUGCAAGUCGAACGAGGUGCCAUCGGGCUUGCUCGAUGGUUACCUAGUGGCGGACGGCUGAGUAACGCGUAGGUGACCUACCCGGAAGUGGGGAAUAACUGCCCGAAAGGGUGGCUAAUACCGCAUGUGGUCGGCGAUUCGAUUCGCCGUCCAAAGGAGAAAUUCGCUUCCGGCGGGGCCUGCGUCCGAUUAGCUAGUUGGUGGGGUAACGGCUCACCAAGGCGACGAUCGGUAGCUGGUCUGAGAGGAUGAUCAGCCAGACUGGGACUGAGAACGGCCCAGACUCCUACGGGAGGCAGCAGUCGGGAAUUUGCCCAAUGGACGAAAGUCUGAGGCAGCAACUCCGCGUGAGGGAUGAAGGCUCUCGGGUCGUAAACCUCUUUUCUCAGGGAAGAUCCAAGACGGUACCUGAGGAAUAAGCGACGGCUAACUACGUGCCAGCAGCCGC
Molecule: ribosomal RNA, 477 nt
Filed under: uncultured soil bacterium
Lineage: Bacteria
Description: bacterial SSU rRNA
Rfam family: Bacterial small subunit ribosomal RNA
Source: RNAcentral